UAUUUAUUUUCUGAUUUUCUAAGUUUAUAGGCUACAGCACGUGCAGCCGACUAUGCGCAGUCGGGCCUACAAAAACACUUCUCUACGUUUGGAAAGGAAAAUGUGUCCACUAGCGUGACCCUGCCCACACCUGAGCCAAAUGUCCAGAGUCCUGCAAAAGAGACCACACCACCUGUGGAGAUUGGAUCCACAGUUGCUUCAGAUGAAGAAAAAUCUAGUGAAGAGUACUUCACCCAUUCAUUGCUGCUGCCACCUUGUUUUUUCUUCAUUGACCAGAAGGAUUGGAACAAACUGCGCAAAAAAAACAACACUGCCGUAGAUUCAAAACACUGAACUGGACCUCUGUAAUGGCCAAAGGAAUACGGAGUGUUCAUCCUUACUGCAGUUUUGGAUUUAAGUGCCACAGUGUGAAAUCCAUCGGCUCUAAAAGAAGUGGCCCAGUCUUCACAUGUUCUGGCUACUGUACUUUUGAUGACUGCCCUGUAGAGGUGGAAACAAACUUUCAAGAAGAGUCGUCUCUGAAGGCUGAGGUCAUCUUCAGUGGUGAUUUUGUCUGCCACUGAUGGGACCAAAUAAAGAUGGCCGGUGCCAGGUGAGGAAAGGGAUGCCCUGUCCCAUACCUUUUCAACCAAACUGCCGAGGACUGUCUUCUUGGAGUAUUGAGAGGCUGGAGGACACUGUUGUGGCCUCAGGGUGCAGGGACAACGUCUCUGCAACUGGUGUCAUGGAGCAAGAAAAAACAAAAAAGAAGACACAAAAAUGAGAUGAUCAGCCUCCAGAAGAUGGUGGCUGAAGAGGAGGCAGAGGCAGAAGGAAGGGUGAUCCAGAACAUCAGUCUUUACCUUAAGUGUGAUGCUGUACU
Molecule: long non-coding RNA, 862 nt
Organism: Larimichthys crocea (large yellow croaker)
Lineage: Eukaryota; Metazoa; Chordata; Actinopteri; Sciaenidae
Exons: 3
Source: RefSeq, a predicted model, not a curated record